AUUGAACGCUCGCGGGAUGCUUUACACAUGCAAGUCGAACGAGUGGCGGACGGGUGAGUAAUAUAUCGGAACGUGCCCAGUAGCGGGGGAUAACUACUCGAAAGAGUGGUUAUUACCGCUUACUAUUGGAGCGGGCCAGCUCGGAUUAGCUAGUUGGUGGGGUAAAGGCUCACCAAGAAAACGAUCCCUAGCUGGUGUGAGAGGACGACCAGCCACACUGGGACUGAGACACGGCCCAGACUCCUACGGGAGGCAGCAGUGGGUAAUGUUGGACAAUGGGGGAAACCCUGAUCCAGCCAACCCGCGUGUAUGAGAAGGCCUUCGGGUUGUAAAGUACUUUUGGCAGAGAAGCGGUAUCUGCAGAAUAAGCGCCGGCUAACUACGUGCCAGCAGCCGCGGUAAUUC
This 405-nucleotide ribosomal RNA is filed under the name uncultured bacterium. Its description in RNAcentral is "partial 16S ribosomal RNA". It matches the Rfam family "Bacterial small subunit ribosomal RNA", at positions 30 to 526 of the family's 1533-position model. The record is from RNAcentral.